GACGAACGCUGGCGGCGUGCCUAAUACAUGCAAGUCGAACGCACGAAGUUGAAGAGCUUGCUCUUUAACCAAGUGAGUGGCGGACGGGUGAGUAACACGUGGGUAACCUGCCCAUUAGAGGGGGAUAACAUUCGGAAACGGAUGCUAAUACCGCAUAGUUUCAGGGAUCGCAUGAUUCUUGAAGGAAAGGUGGCUCCGGCUACCACUAAUGGAUGGACCCGCGGCGUAUUAGCUAGUUGGUGAGGUAAUGGCUCACCAAGGCAAUGAUACGUAGCCGACCUGAGAGGGUGAUCGGCCACACUGGGACUGAGACACGGCCCAGACUCCUACGGGAGGCAGCAGUAGGGAAUCUUCCGCAAUGGGCGAAAGCCUGACGGAGCAACGCCGCGUGAGUGAAGAAGGAUUUCGGUUCGUAAAGCUCUGUUGUUAGGGAAGAAUGAUUGUGUAGUAACUAUACACAGUAGAGACGGUACCUAACCAGAAAGCCACGGCUAACUACGUGCCAGCAGCCGCGGUAAUACGUAGGUGGCAAGCGUUGUCCGGAAUUAUUGGGCGUAAAGCGCGCGCAGGUGGUUUAAUAAGUCUGAUGUGAAAGCCCACGGCUCAACCGUGGAGGGUCAUUGGAAACUGUUAAACUUGAGUGCAGGAGAGAAAAGUGGAAUUCCUAGUGUAGCGGUGAAAUGCGUAGAGAUUAGGAGGAACACCAGUGGCGAAGGCGGCUUUUUGGCCUGUAACUGACACUGAGGCGCGAAAGCGUGGGGAGCAAACAGG
RNAcentral lists this ribosomal RNA (771 nucleotides) under uncultured bacterium. Its description in RNAcentral is "bacterial SSU rRNA". It matches the Rfam family "Bacterial small subunit ribosomal RNA", at positions 28 to 776 of the family's 1533-position model. The record is from RNAcentral.